Molecule: ribosomal RNA, 440 nt
Filed under: uncultured bacterium
Lineage: Bacteria
Description: partial 16S ribosomal RNA
Rfam family: Bacterial small subunit ribosomal RNA
Source: RNAcentral
CCUACGGGGGGCAGCAGUGGGGAAUAUUGCACAAUGGGGGAAACCCUGAUGCAGCAACGCCGCGUGAAGGAAGACGGUUGUCGGAUUGUAAACUUCUGUUCUUAGUGAAGAAUAAUGACGGUAGCUAAGGAGCAAGCCACGGCUAACUACGUGCCAGCAGCCGCGGUAAUACGUAGGUGGCAAGCGUUGUCCGGAAUUACUGGGUGUAAAGGGAGCGCAGGCGGGAAGCCAAGUCAGCUGUGAAAACUACGGGCUUAACUUGUAGACUGCAGUUGAAACUGGUUUUCUUGGGUGGAGUGGGGGUUGGCGGAGUUCCGGGUGUGGCGGUAAAAUGCGUAGAUAUUCGUAGGAACACCGGUGGCGAGGGCGGCCAACUGGGCUUAACUGACGCUGAGGCUCGAAAGUGUGGGGAGCAAACAGGAUUAGAUACCCGGGUAGUC